Molecule: unclassified non-coding RNA, 369 nt
Filed under: fungal sp.
Lineage: Eukaryota; Fungi
Description: partial internal transcribed spacer region
Source: RNAcentral
AGGUCGUAACAAGGUUUCCGUAGGUGACUGCGGAAAGAUCAUUAACACGUAUCCAACGUGAAACCCCCUGUGAACCUUCAUUGUACGAGUUACAUCCACGUCAUGAACCGGCAAUCUCUGGUAAAUCAUCGCCGAACAGUUUUGAUUCAGACCUCUGGAUGGUAGUGCGAGGCAAUUGACCUGGCAUCCUCUGCUUGUGCUGAAAGUGUCACUAGCUAUGUACGGAUGGCGCAGUAACGAUCGCUGGAGGCCGACAUGGCCCUGGGCUACGGCCCCCCUGAUCACAACCUUUGCAUGAAAACGGGCCUGCGCUAAGGUGCAGCCGCCCCUAAUGCUUGAACACUGUUAACAAUGGAUAUCUUGGUUCUC